Molecule: long non-coding RNA, 1801 nt
Filed under: Pollicipes pollicipes
Lineage: Eukaryota; Metazoa; Arthropoda; Thecostraca; Pollicipedomorpha; Pollicipedidae
Description: uncharacterized LOC119090488
Source: RNAcentral
CCCUACUCGACGCGUCCGCCGCCGCUGCCGCCGCACCUGAGCUUCGUGCAGUACACGCCCGGCGGCAGCUUCCUGUCGCCAGCCACCUUCCAGUCGCCGGAGCUGAGCUACCUGAACCCGGCGUUCGCGGCCUACCAGACGGUGCAGUACGGCGGGCCGCUGUGCGGCGGGCCGCCGCCGCGCGCGCCGCCGCCGCCCUGCCGGCCGCGCUGCGACUCGUGCUACAACUGCGGCCGCGAGGGCCACCCGGGUCGCCUCUGCACGGCAGAGAGCGUCGGCAACGAUACUAGUCCGCACAACCAGUUCAAACUGAGCUUCGUUUCUUCCAUAUCGGAGAACUGACGGGCAGCGUGCGCGGGCGCGGGCUGCGCACGGCUCGCGGGCCCCGGCUCGCCGCACCUCCAGGGAGCAGGCUAUGUUUGGUGUCCACCUGUCUUGUGCCUUUAGAUUGCCUAAGUUUAUUAUCUGGCUUCCGCUGCUUGCUGCCGUCGGCGGCAGCCGGCCGCCGAUCGUCGGCAGUCGCAAGCCACGGCGUCGCCCGGGCCCCAGCGCCUGCGGCGUGUGCCAGGGCCUAGUGCCCAUCCAGUGCAAAACCAUUGUGAUUGUAUGUGUGAUCCAUACGUUAUAUCAUGUGUAUUCGGUAGAUGUCGUUAGGCACGAGAGCGCGCGCUCGUUUUUUGUAGUGUGUGUGCGUGUGUAUGCGUUCCGUCGGCGCGUGUAGGGUGGGCGGGCGGCGGGGGCGUGAUGACGUGCGCCGGGUCGCGGGGCGCCCGCCGUGUGAUUGGUCCGAUCUGGUGUCGGCUCAGGGGCCGCCAGGCGCGCGGGGCUGCUCCGGUCGCGCUGCUGGCCCGGCAACACCCCUGCCCCGAUCCGGCGGGCGGAGGCCGGGGCCCGGCCGCCAGAACCAAAUGUGCAUUUAAUUUAUCCGUCGGCGGGCUACUGCAUUUGGGCAAACGCGGAGGCAGUGGCCGUACAACCAGACGCGCGGUCCACACCGGAAACACGCGUCAGUCUCCUGGGCGCACACUUGUGCGCCUCACACAUGUGAACCCCCCCCCCCCCCCCUACACACACAUCACACAACGCCGGAUGCGCUCAGAGGUGUGAGACUGCACACCAGCGAAACGGCCUCGUAGUUGCAGGUCGCCUGGUUCUUGCCCCGUUUCUGGUUCGGCAUUCGGUGACCUAGAUCACAGACAGGCGAGCACAGUCCCCUGCCACGCCCGCGCUCCGACAGCCACACGCCGACGCAGGCGGUGGCUCGGCGGGCGCGUGAGGCAGGCCGGCCAGGGCGGGCUCGGGACAUCUGGCCCAGCCGGCCGUGAGCCAGCUCGGCUGGACUCGGGACACCCCACACAGGCUGGUCGGCCCAGCUCCGGACACCUGGCACAAGCGGGACAGCAGGAUCGCGCGUCGCCUGCCCAGCCGUGUGAUGUGUUUUCUAAGCCUGUUUUGUACACCAGCGAACAAGGUUUUAGCGUUGCGGUGACGCGUAGAAUCAAGUGUUGUCCUGCCUUCGGCGGCGCGGCGCCGGCUUCGCGUGCCACCUGCUCGGCCAUCGGGUGCGGCCAGGGGUGUAGCGACAGUUCGUGUAAUACGGUGUAUUCGUCAUUUAAUGAUGUUGGUAGGAGGGCCAUCUAGCCGGUUCGGCGUUUCGUGUAGGCUAUACCAGUAAGGCGAGCGUAACUGCAAAACUCGAGUAAAUUUUUUGGUAUAAACUUCAUUUAAUAUCACCGUGUGUUAUUGUAAACCGGUUUCAAAAUGAUGUUUAGAAAAGCGGUUAAUAAAAAGGAUAAAAACA